GACGAACGCNGGCGGCGUGCUUAACACAUGCAAGUCGAACGAAGAGCGACGGAAGCUUGCUUCUAUCAAUCUUAGUGGCGAACGGGUGAGUAACGCGUAAUCAACCUGCCCUUCAGAGGGGGACAACAGUUGGAAACGACUGCUAAUACCGCAUACGAUCCAAUCUCGGCAUCGAGGAUAGAUGAAAGGUGGCCUCUACAUGUAAGCUAUCACUGAAGGAGGGGAUUGCGUCUGAUUAGCUAGUUGGAGGGGUAACGGCCCACCAAGGCGAUGAUCAGUAGCCGGUCUGAGAGGAUGAACGGCCACAUUGGGACUGAGACACGGCCCAGACUCCUACGGGAGGCAGCAGUGGGGAAUCUUCCGCAAUGGACGAAAGUCUGACGGAGCAACGCCGCGUGAGUGAUGACGGCCUUCGGGUUGUAAAGCUCUGUUAAUCGGGACGAAAGGCCUUCUUGCAAAUAGUGAGAAGGAUGACGGNA
This 479-nucleotide ribosomal RNA is filed under the name uncultured bacterium. RNAcentral's name for it is "bacterial SSU rRNA". It matches the Rfam family "Bacterial small subunit ribosomal RNA", at positions 28 to 477 of the family's 1533-position model. The record is from RNAcentral.